RNAcentral lists this long non-coding RNA (1061 nucleotides) under Nicotiana tabacum (common tobacco). Its description in RNAcentral is "long non-coding RNA (NTAB_LNC017550)". Lineage: Eukaryota; Viridiplantae; Streptophyta; Magnoliopsida; Solanales; Solanaceae. The record is from RNAcentral.
UUUCUUAACCAAAAUACCAGCAUAAUAAGUACAUCCACUGUAGUGAUAAGAGGAUAAGUAUAGCAGUACAAAAGUGUUAAAACUCCCCAAAACUCGACGCCACAAGUACAUGAGUAAUCUAGAGAAUAUACAAAAUUACUAUAACUACUGUUUGAAAGUGAUAGACAAAAAUUAUAAACAUGGAAGAGGGAGGCUCCGAUGAUGCAGAUCAUAGCAAGGCAAGCAACUCACCACUAAAUCUCCGUAGAUGAUCGGCUAUGCGCUCGCGUGCCACUGGUAGUACAUGUCUCAGUACCUGCACAUCAGUGCAGAAGUGUAGUGUGAGUAGGAAAAAUAAUACGUACCUAGUAAGUAUCUAGUCUAACCUCAAAGAAGUAGUGAUGAGGAGUCGACUUGACACUUACUAGAGGUCAAAUAACAAUAUAAAUACAUAAAGUAGACAUGAUGAGUGUACAACAAAUAGCAACGAAGCAGAUAAAGUUACUACAGUAAGUCCACACAUGAGUCUAUAUCAAGUAACAAAACACGUCAUAAUCGGCCUUGGAGGCGCUAACUCGAUAAUUAACAAACCAAAUCCAGUUCCAAUUAUUAAGUACGAAGUUGCCGAGCCGAACGACCCGAUCCCAUAGGAAUAGUGAUACUCAGUACUGCCGAGGCGAACGACCCGAUCUCAUAAGAGUAGUGAGGUUUACCUCGCUCGCGGAAGCACUUGCGAGACGAGAAGACACAGAUUUAUAGUUUAUCAAGUAUUUUUCAAUUUUUCUAAAGUAAGAAGCUAAGUCGUUAUCUUCAAUUUAAACCCUCAGUCUCAGUCCUAAUCAAGAUAAUUGAUACAGAUGAUAGGCAUAAACAGUACAAAUAAAGGCAUGAUGUGAAUUUAAGUCUACCUGGACAUAUCAUGAAUAUAGCUAUGUACGUACUCUCGUCACCUCGUACGUACGUAACUCCCAUAACAAGUAGCACACAACAAUAAUACACCUAAGAGGAUAAGUUCUCUUUUACAAGAUUAGACAAGAGACUUACCUCGGUCCCAAGUCCUCAAUCCGGCUCUUCAACCUCAC